RNAcentral lists this ribosomal RNA (253 nucleotides) under uncultured bacterium. RNAcentral's name for it is "partial 16S ribosomal RNA". It matches the Rfam family "Bacterial small subunit ribosomal RNA", at positions 524 to 776 of the family's 1533-position model. The record is from RNAcentral.
UACGUAGGGCCCGAGCAUUAUCCGGAAUUAUUGGGCGUAAAGAGCGUGUAGGUGUUCCUACAAGUCGGUCGUUAAAUCUCAGAGCUCAACUCUGAGGCCGCGAGCGAAACUGUAGGAAUUGAGGUUUACAGGGGCAAGCAGAAUUUCUGGAGUAGGGGUGAAAUCCGUUGAUACCAGAAGGAAUACCAAUGGCGAAGGCAGCUUGCUGGGUAACACCUGACACUGAGACGCGAAAGCGUGGGGAGCAAACAGG